CUAUAUUCUGAGGAAAAUGCUUACUGCUUGGAGGAUGACACAUUUGUGUGCUUCUCUUCAGCAUCCCGUUGGGUUUUGCACUUUAUCUUGAUGCCAUGGCUCAAGCUGGCAACACAAACAUCAUGUGGCAAUGUUGGUGGAGUCCACAAAUAGUAUGUUUUAUCCAGGCUCUGAUUCCAUUUCGACACUGCUACGCUACUAAGCUGUACUCUGGUGGACUUGGCCCUCUGCUGCUGCAAGUUGUUCGUGCUGUCCUUGGGUGGUACCUCAAGUGGUGCCUGAGCAAAACAAACAAGGUCUUAACAGAAUUUUAAAUAACAGAUUAAAGACCUCACCCCACACACUAUACUCUCUCCCUGCAGAGAGGGUAAAACAAAACAGAUUUGGAGCAGAGCUGUUUAUAGUCCUGAUAUGAGCAAGGGGUAAAGGAAAUAGAAAGGAGAUUCAACUGAUUUUCAUACAUUUUUUUCUUUUUUAAUGAUUAGCAAUGAUCCCACAUAAAAUGCUGCAUAUUGCUUUCUUGUAUUACUUAUUUUUGGAGGCCCAAAUAAGAAGGCAAGAAGAAAGGAAGGAAGGAAAUUGUAGCAGCUGAACCAAGUUGUUGAUCUGAAAUGAAGCAAAUAGAAGUCUUGCUGAAAAAAAAAUGUUCAUAUGUUGCAAGGGAUGACCAUGUACAAUCCAAUUUUCUGCAGCAUGUGAUUUCCCAUCGUGAGCCUUGAGCUUCUUCUGCAAACUAGAUUGUGUGGUCUACCACAUAGGACAAGGACUACACUGAUCAAACUCACCUCUCUUCUGGACUGCCCUGUGGAACAGGAAGGUCAUGUUUCUCAUGGUUGUCAUCACAGAUAUCCAUGUAUAAAAUGUUUUUGAAUCUGACUUCAUUUAGACUUUGCACUUUCAUUUUAACUUGUAUUGCAAAAACCAGCCCUGAACUCUCUAUUUCUUAUUAAUUAACUAUUGCUAAUUAUUUUCAAAUAUAAAGUUAUGUCAUAUAAUUGUGAUGAAUUAUUAUAAUAAAAGGAUUCCAGUUA
Melospiza melodia melodia is the source of this 1031-nucleotide long non-coding RNA. RefSeq lists it as uncharacterized. The record is from RefSeq and is a predicted model, not a curated record. The transcript is spliced from 2 exons. NCBI's taxonomy places the organism in Eukaryota, Metazoa, Chordata, Aves, Passeriformes, Passerellidae.